GGUCCCGAGGGGGUUUCAGCGGGGUGAGGCAUGGAGGUGGGUUUGGGUUGAUUGGGUUUGGGUUGGGGACGACCGAGCGAGCGAGCGGCGGCCGGCGGCGGGUCGCGGAGGCGGCUGGGGGCGAGGGCGGCGUGCGGCCGGGGUACCGCCUAGGGAUGGCGAGCAUGGAGGGCAGGAGGAGAGUGCUGUCUCAAGGUGACCCGCCAAUAGGACCCAUGCAAGAUGGACUUCUUAGUAGGAUAAUACGAAGUUUUUACCGACGAGACGCUCCUCAUGGUUUACAUGGAUCUCAACUACAUGGUGAUGUCAGUUCUCGAAUACCAAACCUACAAGGUCGUCCGCACUCGGUAGGACGAAUACCAAACCUACAAGGUCGUCCGCACUCGGUAGGACGAAUACCAAACCUACAAGGUCGUCCGCGCUCGGUAGGACGAAUACCAUACCUACAAGGUCGUCCGCACUUGGUAGGACGAAACCAACCGAACCCACGUGACGGUCGACCUCGAUCCGGCGCCCCUGGAUCGGGAAACCUUCUGGGUCGAAAUCAGGUCUCUUCAAGAAGUGAACCGUUUUCACAGUCAUAAGGCCUUCAACUCGCGGGGUUUGGACAAAACUAGCAGCUAGCCGGUAGUCUUCUACUUAGGUUGUAAGAAAAACAACUACCAGAGGGUUGACUAACGUGGUCCUCUCUUCAUCGAGUAAACAAGGCAGGAAAGCAACCGAAGUUCCUGGAGUCUGAACACGUGUUCCUCGGGUCUGCAUCACCACUGUUCCGAAUACGAGACACGAAACACCUCAAGUCACUGCGUUUUACACGUCCCUGACGAUACCUCCGAGAGGUUCUUAUGGCGAAGCUGCUCUCCUUCGAGCUGCCGGGUAAGGAAUUCUAGGUCAAGCGUUCCAAGGGCAAGGCUGGAGGCGGUCGGGUACUUCUAGCCUUUGCGGAAUCGCGAGCGACUAGCGGCAGUAGAUAUAUAGAGGGGGGAAACGGUCGUCACAUAGCAUCCGUCACCCGGUAACAUCUAGUCGAUACAAACAAGUCGGACAUCAUCGUUGGACAGUGCCCGGAAACAGUCGACCUCUAACCGAUCGAUCUGUCUGAACGGACCAUGGGUGGACGGACGGGACCGUGUAAGCGGCACAAGGGCGCAGUGUAAAAAGCGCCCACCUAUACGAUCUUUACUAUACUGUAAGCGGCACAAGGGCGCAGUGUAAAAAGCGCCCACCUAUACGACCUUUACCAUACGUAUUUGACAAGGACAGAAACGUCGAGGUCCCGUCAUCCAUCUCAUGUUAGACAGACCAUAGGACCCCAACGGUGAUCACUACGACCCCUCACCGUAGAAACAUAGGCCCCGGACUAUGUCGGUGGUCUCAGGUCUCGACAGUUAACCCCUGUCCUUGGCGUUCUCUGUUUCAACGAGUCCAAGCGACCUCAGCGGCAACUAAAACGGCACCUUACACUCGCGAGCUCUGCUUCCACCCUGCAGCUGCCACUCUUAACGGGCGGACAGCAUGCGCAAGCGGAACCGAGAGCGCUGCCAAAAAAGGCGACCUCGAAGGGCUUCCUCCGCUGACCGCGCUGCACCAAACCCCAAAACGUCUCUUUGGGGUCGCGCAGCCAAUCGGCAACCUAGCGCUUACACAACGGCCAAAAGAGAAACGGGAGUAGAAAUAGACACCGAACUCAAACGUCCGCAGACAUCCGACAUCGUAGCAGCAGCAGCAGGGGUUUCGAUCGUGCAGAUCUUACGACCACAAAAAGAUUGCCUCACCGAUAAAACAAACGUUUUAGCGUCGGAAUUCUACAAGAGACCUUCAAACUGUGAUGAACAACUACCCGGAAAGAACAGUGGAUGAAAAGAAGAAGAAUGAUCGUCGUGCGAACGACACAUUUGUCCAGAGAACGUACCAUGGAAAGGUGGGUAGAAAUUUUUAUUAUUCGUACUUUUACGUCAUCUUUAAUACCAACUCGAAAAGCUUCCACUCGACUCGUAGAGAACCGUGACCCGAACGGUACAUAUGCGUCUGUUCUAAACGUACAUCGGCCAAAUCGGAAAUUACAAAUGUAGAACCAACUACUACUUAACUACUACUAUCCCUACCGAGUUGAGCCGCCUCUCCUGUCCUCUCCUCCUCGGCCCCGAGCGUAAAAGGUGCCAUAAAGGUACACCGGCCCCACCCAUCACCCGUACACACGCGGAGGGUUUAACCCACCACUCCGCCGCACUCUCGAUGGGAAGGGAGAAGGGACGAACGGUACCGUGAGCGUGGUGGCCGCUGGACAUCGCGCGGCUCAGCAUAUGCGUGCGGAACAAUAUUAAGGAGACCACAUGGCAGAUGUGACAGUAGCUCAUAACAGGGGCAAUGCGGUCGGUAAAUUAGGUACCUUAAUGCACCCGUGGCAUUACGCGUUAAACUGUCGCUUCUUUCCAGUUUCACGUCUGUCUGCUCCACCUGGUUCUGAGCAGCGAGCAGUCAGCAGUGGUCGGGUCGCGUCGCGCCGUUAAGUCGUUUCGUCUUGUUGGGGGUGGGCGGCAAAAAGAGGGGGGGUGGAAGGGAGGCGCAGGGGAGGAGGCUCCGGUGGAUCGUUCGAGGCCGGCAGGCGGGCAGGUGCUCGCUCGGCCGGCGGCCGGCGGCGGCUUCGGCUACUUCUUCGGCCCUUUCGAGCGCGACGGGAGGGUCCUGAGGUGGUAGCCGUUCAAGGACUGCGUCUCGCCCUGCAAGUUCCUGCCGCUGGACGAGCAGUUGUUCCUGCCGGAGGCGUAGCAGGGCGUCUCGCUCCUUCCGCUCCGAGGAGGAUAGUUCGGCAACCUAUUAUUAGUAGUCAACUCGUAUCUGCUAGAUCUAAGUUAGUUUCACUAGCCCUUUCCAUUAUCGCCUUGGCACGUCAACCACGCGGUGUUUACCUGACCGGUCAAAAAACGAGAGUUCCAAUAUGUCGAGUUAUAAGUCCUUUCGUAUGCGUUCGUCUACCGGGUCCUCAACUUUUAUUCGAACAAAUGUGUCACGGUCAUACAACAGUGUACGAUAGUCACAAAGAUACAGUUACCACAAUAAAGAUAACGAAACCUCAUAUACCUACCACCGAGAGAGCGACUAAAGGAGUUCCGACAAUCUUGGCAAGGACUCCGGAUGGAACGACGUUAAACAUUCGUCCACAACUUUCCCGACUACAUGAACGUAGUGCUCUUCGCGCAAUAUGUGGCUCUAGACUUUGGUAGCUUAUAUAACUAUUUAGUAUCCCCACUUCAUUUCUAUAGUCUAAAACCACAAUCACGGUAGUAAAGAUCAAGAAGACGUGUCGCUCUAUGUAAAUGACCGUGUAAAUUGAUGUACCGCGGACUUUCUUAGUCACCCGUCUUUGUACCAGUAGACUCACUAUAGACCUCGAACCCGGAUCAAUACGACCUUACACGGUGACCGUUAAAGGGUAUAGGAGGAGCACUUUCGAAAAUACUUGAAGAACUUCGACAACAGCUGGUUGGUAGUGGAAGACGUGGUAGUCUGGUCAAAAGUGGUCUCAAGACAAGUAAGUAAAGACGAACAUAGGUUUUUUUACGACGUCUAUCCAGUAGACGGGUUUGGGAUAGUCAAGUAGGUAAGGACUCGUACAUGCUACUGGACUUAUAGCUAGAAAGACUGAUGAAGUCCUGGCGUCCUAGUGGCGAACGGUGGAAGUUCGUUUAGCGCAACACUCUGCUGUUUACGAGUUGGUACGCAGUACUCGACCUCGAUUGACUUCGUUCACUUACCUCAAUAAAAAGAAAAGGAAAACAAGUACUUGACCCGAAACCACUAUAGAAACUUGGCUCAUACUAUGUUAACCGACGUAUUAAUAUGUUUAUGUUCAAACAUUUCGUAGUCACUCCUAGCUUCAAAACGGACAGACGUAUGGCCUUGGUAGGCAAACAACAGACCGAAACUGGAAACAAUACAUACCCGAAUAGCGAAAACGUCAAAAUGAUUACUUUGGUAUAAACGACCCAACGAAGUACUGGACUAAACCUGAUCAUAGACGUUCGAAAAUCAAGUCUACCACUACACAGUGAAAUCCACCUCCCACCACCACCCGAAGACUUUAGUCCUUACCAACGAAAACGUUCACCGUGGAAGAACAUUAAACAUUAAAGUGUCUUCACUUUAAGUUUAAACUAGGUACGUUUUUUCUUUCUUUUUAUACAAUACAACACUUUAUCAUAUUUUUUAACACUGUCACCUGUUUCUACUACUUCCAUCGGCUUCCUUGCUUCGCAUCCUCUCCUUCUUUCCGCUUCUUAUAACGUAGCACUGUUACCUGCUCUACCUCG
This 4310-nucleotide ribosomal RNA is filed under the name Triticum aestivum (bread wheat). RNAcentral describes it as "partial small subunit ribosomal RNA". Lineage: Eukaryota; Viridiplantae; Streptophyta; Magnoliopsida; Poales; Poaceae. The record is from RNAcentral.